This 803-nucleotide ribosomal RNA is filed under the name Streptomyces sp. RNAcentral's name for it is "bacterial SSU rRNA". It matches the Rfam family "Bacterial small subunit ribosomal RNA", at positions 67 to 883 of the family's 1533-position model. Lineage: Bacteria; Bacillati; Actinomycetota; Actinomycetes; Kitasatosporales; Streptomycetaceae. The record is from RNAcentral.
CGAUGAACCUCCUUCGGGAGGGGAUUAGUGGCGAACGGGUGAGUAACACGUGGGCAAUCUGCCCUGCACUCUGGGACAAGCCCUGGAAACGGGGUCUAAUACCGGAUACGAGCUUCACAGGCAUCUGGGAGUCUGGAAAGCUCCGGCGGUGCAGGAUGAGCCCGCGGCCUAUCAGCUUGUUGGUGAGGUAACGGCUCACCAAGGCGACGACGGGUAGCCGGCCUGAGAGGGCGACCGGCCACACUGGGACUGAGACACGGCCCAGACUCCUACGGGAGGCAGCAGUGGGGAAUAUUGCACAAUGGGCGCAAGCCUGAUGCAGCGACGCCGCGUGAGGGAUGACGGCCUUCGGGUUGUAAACCUCUUUCAGCAGGGAAGAAGCGAAAGUGACGGUACCUGCAGAAGAAGCGCCGGCUAACUACGUGCCAGCAGCCGCGGUAAUACGUAGGGCGCAAGCGUUGUCCGGAAUUAUUGGGCGUAAAGAGCUCGUAGGCGGCUUGUCGCGUCGGAUGUGAAAGCCCGGGGCUUAACCCCGGGUCUGCAUUCGAUACGGGCAGGCUAGAGUUCGGUAGGGGAGAUCGGAAUUCCUGGUGUAGCGGUGAAAUGCGCAGAUAUCAGGAGGAACACCGGUGGCGAAGGCGGAUCUCUGGGCCGAUACUGACGCUGAGGAGCGAAAGCGUGGGGAGCGAACAGGAUUAGAUACCCUGGUAGUCCACGCCGUAAACGGUGGGCACUAGGUGUGGGCAACAUUCCACGUUGUCCGUGCCGCAGCUAACGCAUUAAGUGCCCCGCCUGGGGAGUAC